RNAcentral lists this unclassified non-coding RNA (1730 nucleotides) under Hevea brasiliensis (rubber tree). Lineage: Eukaryota; Viridiplantae; Streptophyta; Magnoliopsida; Malpighiales; Euphorbiaceae. The record is from RNAcentral.
UUCACAUGAUUUGUUCCUCUUUCUUUUUCCCUUUCUAUUUUCUUCUUUUGAUCAUCUAGUUCCUCUUGACACAUUAAUUCUUAACUUAGCUCCCUUAUUUGUUUCUUUUUUGUUUAAAGCCUUUAAUUCUUUCUCUUGGGAUUUGUGAGCAACAGAAUAUGCAUAUGAUAUGGGAAUCUGAGUUGCUUCUCAUCAUUUAUCACUUUUGAAGAGAGAGAACCUAACUAACCUUUCACAUAUCCAUGGCCAAAGCACCACCAGUGCUUACCAGACUCCAAAACCAUAGCCCCAAGAAAGCUCAUAAACAACACUCUAUGUCACCACUUUGCCUCUCCAUCUUCCUCCUAGUCACCUGUGUCGCUCUCUUUACUCUCUUCCAAAUCCAAUCCCUCCACACCCCACCUUCUUCUUCAUCACCAUGGUUUCUUAUGCAUCAGUGGCAGAAAGUCACCACCAGCACCCAGGAACUCACGUCCAUGGCUGAAAAGCUUAGGCAAGCAGUCACGUUUCUCCCACUUAAGGAUUUGCGUUACCAAGAAAAGGCCCUGCAAGGCCACACAUGGUUCAUGAGCUCCAUGUAUGAUACUCGUGAAGAAGGUGAGGUACAAUACCAGCAGUUUCCUUCACAAUCCUCUAAUGGUAGGCUACUUUGCUUGAAAGGACGUGAUACCCACGAUGGGUCUUGGAAUUCCUAUGCCUUAGCUUGGCCUGAAACCCUACCUUUCAAUGCUACUCUCCUGAAAGGUUUAACCUUUGUGUCAUAUAACCAUUACAACUAUGAUAAUAUCUGGCAUGGGUUAUCUGCUGUGGUACCAUUUGUUGCGUGGCAUAUAAGAAAUGAGUGUGAAUCUCCUAGUAGAUGGAUUUUGUACCAUUGGGGUGAGCUUAGGUUCAAAAUGGGUGCAUGGCUAAGGACCCUGACUGAGGCAACAUUUGAUGGAGAACCAUUUAUUGAAGGAUUUGAAUGGGCUAAUAAUAGUGAGCCAAUUUGCUUUGAAAAAGCUGUGGUGAUGAGGCAUAAUGAGGGUGGCAUGUCAAGGGUGAGGAGGAUGGAGACUUAUGAUUACAUGAGGUGUAAGGCUAGGGCUUAUUGUAAUGUGAGCUUGGAAGAUGCAAGAAUCAAUAACAAGGGAUUGCCAGGAAUUGGAUUGACCUUAUUUAUGAGAACAGGUCCCAGAUCUUUCAGGAAUGAGUCUGCAGUGAUUGGCAUCUUUGAAAAGGAGUGUGCAAAGGUAGAGGGUUGCAAGUUGAUGGUGGCCUACUCCAAUAAUCUUACUUUCUGCGAGCAGGUGAAGCUGAUGAGCUUGACAGAUAUUCUAGUAUCACCCCAUGGUGCUCAAUUAAGCAACAUGUUCCUAAUGGACAGAAAUAGCAGUGUGAUGGAAUUCUUCCCAAAAGGAUGGUUAAAACUUGCUGGUGUAGGUCAAUAUGUUUACCACUGGAUUGCUAGCUGGUCUGGGAUGAAACACCAAGGUGCAUGGCGAGACCCUGAGGGCGAACCCUGCCCUUUCCUGGAAGAUGAUCGCCGGUGCAUGUCUGUUUACAAAGGUGGUAAAAUUGGAUUGAAUGAGACUUACUUUUCUAAGUGGGCUAAAAAUGUUCUCAAUGAAGUCAAAACAAGAAAGACGGUUGAGGUAUCAAACAAGAGUACUGCUUCAACUUCUAGUUGUGCUUGUAGCUAAGUACUAUAAUCCCCAUAAUAGGAAACUCUUGCCUAAUUUUGAUUUAUC